AGUGAACGCUGGCGGUAGGCCUAACACAUGCAAGUCGAACGGCAGCACAGUAAGAGCUUGCUCUUACGGGUGGCGAGUGGCGGACGGGUGAGGAAUACAUCGGAAUCUACUUUUUCGUGGGGGAUAACGUAGGGAAACUUACGCUAAUACCGCAUACGACCUACGGGUGAAAGCAGGGGAUCUUCGGACCUUGCGCGAUUGAAUGAGCCGAUGUCGGAUUAGCUAGUUGGCGGGGUAAAGGCCCACCAAGGCGACGAUCCGUAGCUGGUCUGAGAGGAUGAUCAGCCACACUGGAGCUGAGACACGGUCCAGACUCCUACGGGAGGCAGCAGUGGGGAAUAUUGGACAAUGGGCGCAAGCCUGAUCCAGCCAUACCGCGUGGGUGAAGAAGGCCUUCGGGUUGUAAAGCCCUUUUGUUGGCAAAGAAAAGCAGCAGGUUAAUACCCCGCUGUUCUGACGGUACCCAAAGAAUAAGCACCGGCUAACUUCGUG
RNAcentral lists this ribosomal RNA (492 nucleotides) under uncultured bacterium. RNAcentral describes it as "partial 16S ribosomal RNA". It matches the Rfam family "Bacterial small subunit ribosomal RNA", at positions 29 to 507 of the family's 1533-position model. The record is from RNAcentral.